AAGUUUGAUGGCGACCGGCGCACGGGUGAGUAACACGUAUCCAACCUGCCGAUGACUCGGGGAUAGCCUUCCGAAAGAAAGAUUAAUACCCGAUGGCAUAGUUCUUCCGCAUGGUAGAACUAUUAAAGAAUUUCGGUCAUCGAUGGGGAUGCGUUCCAUUAGGUUGUUGGCGGGGUAACGGCCCACCAAGCCUUCGAUGGAUAGGGGUUCUGAGAGGAAGGUCCCCCACAUUGGAACUGAGACACGGUCCAAACUCCUACGGGAGGCAGCAUG
This 273-nucleotide ribosomal RNA is filed under the name uncultured bacterium. RNAcentral's name for it is "partial 16S ribosomal RNA". It matches the Rfam family "Bacterial small subunit ribosomal RNA", at positions 81 to 353 of the family's 1533-position model. The record is from RNAcentral.